GAUUAACGCGAAGAACCUUACCAGGGCUAGAAAUCCUACUGCACGCCUAGCGAAAGCUAGGAAGCCUUCGAGGGUGUAGGACAGGUGAUGCAUGGCUGUCGUCAGUUCGUGGUUUGAAUCGUUCCCUUCAGUGGGGUAACGAACGCAACCCUCGUUGCCAGUUACAAGUGUCUGGCGAGACUGCCCCCUCACGGGGGAGGAAGGUGAGGAUGACGCCAAGUCAGCAUGUCCCUCUGAUGUCCUGGGCUGCACACGCGCUACAAUCGCCUUUACAAAGGGACGCAAUGCCGCGAGGCGGAGCAAAUCCCCAAAAGAGGCGCCAGUUCGGAUUGGAGUCUGCAACCCGACUCCAUGAAGCCGGAAUGCUAGUAAUCGCGGGUCAGCCACACCGCGGUGAAUACGUUCCCGGGCCUUGUACACACCGAAUCACUAGU
Molecule: ribosomal RNA, 434 nt
Filed under: uncultured bacterium
Lineage: Bacteria
Description: bacterial SSU rRNA
Rfam family: Bacterial small subunit ribosomal RNA
Source: RNAcentral